UUUGAUAUCUGCUGAAUGACAUGACAUUUUUAGCGGCUGAAUUAUGAGUCGAAUCAUUUCGAAUUCAUUUUGUAUUUCAUAGAAUAAACGAUUCUAACGUUGAAUAACUACAAUGGUCAACGGCCGAUUCUCUUUGAACAUAACUCAAAGGAAAGAAAAAUAAUAUUAGAAAAAGAGUGUACACUGUAAUUCAAGAAUCAUAUUUCAUCUCGUUAAUAGAAUCAAUAUUAUAAUAACAAUUUUGAAAACACAACGUUCUAAUCCUAAACGUUCUAAUCUAAAUUUCCUUAACCUGGAAAUUCCAACAAUACUAACCCCAACCCUUUAACUUUUAGCCAAAUACACAAGCUCGCUCUCUCUCUCUCUCUCUCUUGAUCUCAAUAAAUCGGUCCUGUAGAAUCUAAAGUUUAGAACCACGUUGUUUGCCAAAAUAAUUUAUCAACGUGAUUCGCCUGGAAGGGUCAGAAGGAAUCGCGCGGCGAGCAGAGAAAGUGUCACACGAAUCUUUAUCACGAGUUCGGUAGCGCGCAAAUUGGCCGCGCUAUCCACGCCACUAUCAUUUAACAUCGUCGUAUAUUACGAGCAAAGUUUGUUCGCGCGAGCUCGAGGCUCCCCUUUCCUUCCUCAUGCUGUUGCACUCGAAAAGUUCGCAUCGGUUCGGUCCAGCAUCGAAGAGGGAGAAGAAACGUGCAGAGAGGACCUCUCUGUUCGGGAGAGAGGAAGAGAUCGGCCAGUCGCGAUAUAUAAUGCCGCUGGCAUGACAAGGCGAGAGCAAUUAGAUGUCGCCGGAUGCAGCUGCAGGCGAUUGCGUCAUCAGAGUUACUUUGCAACCUUGAUCUCUCCGGAGGGGUCUCCGUUUCCCUGUCCCCCACCUCGAAGUUGCUGGCCUCCCUCUGCCAGGUCUCAGCGGCCACCGCCUCCUCCUUCUUCUUCUUCUCUUUCUUCUUCAUCGUUUUCUUCUUCUUUUUCUUCGUCUUCUUCUUCUUCUUCCCAUUCUGGCCUCCGUUACAUUACAGCCUCCUCGAUGACGUUUCUCGCGUUUUCUCGGUUUCUCGGUGAGAUACGUUGGCCAACAGUCCGAUGGAAGGAGGAAAAGAGUGAUGACUGGUUGAUAGAACUUAAUAAUUAUCGCUGUGUUUGUUAUUUCUAGCGGAAGGACAGUGAGCGUAGUUGUAUCCUCAAGUGGGAGGAAUAAUUGAUGAAUCGUACAAUGUACACACGUGGCGGUUUGGUACAUCUAGAACGUAGAAUCUUCUCGUCGUUUCAGGUUUUCCUGAUAGAAAUACCGUCGUAUUUUCGCUUACAAUUUCGCUUAUGCUUGCGUGCGGAAUUGCACGUUCAAGCUGUACAAUGUUGCUACUGGACGAUACUAAACGUGUGGUUAUAUUUGAAAGCGCAGCUAUCACGUUGAUGUGUUUGAAAUUCCUGCGUUUUGGAUGAUUUUACUCGAUGUCUCAUACGCGAGAUUAAUUUUGUCAGUAUGUAUAUCUUUAUUGAAGUUCUAGAUGUUUCUUCUUCAAUAUUUCUGUCCAAUUACUUGGCCCGAUAUUCUCUAUACAUUUAACGUAUCUUUGAGUUAAUUUUACAGUUACAGUAACAGUAUUAAUUUUACAGUUAAGUACACCGACGUGCUUGGAAUAGAAUAUGCUUUGCAACAAAUAUAGGCCCGAACUUGUUCUUAAAGAUAACAUGGAAAAUGAUGAAAUUAUUCGAAAAAAUAAUCGGCGUAACGAUAUAACCAGACCAUUUUAUUUGUCGGUAAUAAUCAUACAGCUGAUGGGUUUUAUCUGCUGGUAAUUACCUUCGGAUAAAAAAGGGGGAACAGUUUCUUUCUUCUAGCAUUCCUCUGAAAUACAUUUUCGUUGUAGGCCUUGUAUUUACUCUGCCUAUGGGAUUUUCUUGCCUGUUCGCGAGGAGAAAAAAGAGGAACGCCCACGGGGGGUCAGAUUAUCCAGGUCCUCUGCUAUCUUCCUCCUAUCAGACACGAACUUCGCUGAUUCUUUUCUGCAACUUCUCCGUCGAAAAAAACUCGACCACCUGUAAUUGAAUUUGACUCAAGUCUUCUUGUAUCCAUUCUGUUGCGUCUGCCACUUUCGGCUUAAUCGUAUUGAAAAAGAAAAGAUCGCUAAGAAUUUCCUUAAGUUUGAAGAAGAUAUAGGAGAGUAAUAUUGGUUCGUUAAAUUUUUCAGUUAGAAUGUUAGAAGCCUGUUUGUUCGAGGAAACAAGAUUUUAAUUGGAACGUAAAAAUUCAAAGACUGGAAAUAGAAACGCGUUCAUAGAAUCAUCUCUCUCACAGAAAACAUCUAAAGAUAAAAUACGUAAUUUUUCCUCGUUAACACUUCCUUUUCGUUUUUUUUUUUUUUUUUAUAAUUAAUAUUCGUUCGUGCAUCACAAGUGUCACAUAUAGUAUCGUGUUAUAAAGAAACGAGAAAUUUAAAGACCAAGAGAUCGAGACCAAGUAGGCAUUCACCAGUCACAUAUGAACUGGUUGUCUGGUUUGGUUGUCCAGGCUAUAAUGCUUCAAACUGAUGAUUGGAUUUUUUAUAGACUACCUUUGGUGUUUCUUAACACGUUAAGUACGAAUCAGUUUAUAAAACGUUUAGGUUAAUCGGUUGUUAAAAAGUUGGCCCAUCAGUCCAGAACUGGAAGAUAUCACUUAACUGGGUAAUAGAAUUGGACGAUCACGUUCGAAAGCGGCACUCCAAGUCAUAAAAUUUCGCGUGAGGACUUCAGACGAGCUAAAAGUUCCUGUAUAUCUAGUCGUUGGCAAAGUCACGUAGGCGUCCACCUAAAUAAGGCUACGAAACACUUUCGACGUUAACCGUUCACAAUUUGGAAUUCAUUAAAGACGCAACGUGACUCGAUAUUUUGAGUAGAUGAGUUUCAAAUUAACGAUUUUAACGCAACAAGCUACGAUCUUAUCUGAACGAAUAAACAACCGAGGAGAUUUCUCGAAAAAAGAUCUAUAAAACAGAACGGUGAAUCGAGUAAAUAGUGUUCCAAGUUUCAGUCGUAUUUUUUAAAAUGUUUAUAAGCUUCGACAUAUGGUGGGAUCAUACGUGUUCCAAUUUGACUGCUAUCAUUUUCAAGGUUAGGCUUCAUACGCAGGCUUAAAUGAAAUUUCAAAAUGUUUUAUAAAUCAGACGUAAUAUAAUCAUAAAAAUGUUUUAUAAUAAGUGUUCACAUAUUUUAUGCUACAGGCCUUUUCCGACAGGUUUUCCUAUAAAUUUCCUUUCAUUUCGAGUCCCCAUCCCAUGGUACUAAAUUUUACGACGCUAUUAUCAUUUUUAAAAAUCCUCGGUUUCUUUAUAGCUGGCGGUUAAGAAAAAACUGGUAGACGGCUCAGCUUGUUCGAUGAUUUUCAGCAAGCUUUCGUCGUCGAGUCGAUUCUGGCGACAUAACAUAGCUCUCGGAGCAAAGGACGAAGAUCAGGGUAGGGGGAGGACGUAUGGAUGCGGGCGUGCAACACAGUUUUCUUAAGGAAGGAAAAAAAGUUCCCACGGGUCGCGGAGAACUGCGGAAGAGGGAUGUGUACCGGUGCACGUGUAGCGUGGCUGCGACAGCUUAAAGCCAAUUCACACAUGGCCGUCCUUGUUUCGUGAUUCUACCGUUUCAGAUGCGUGCACGUUAC
Long non-coding RNA from Bombus pyrosoma, 3631 nucleotides. RefSeq lists it as uncharacterized. NCBI's taxonomy places the organism in Eukaryota, Metazoa, Arthropoda, Insecta, Hymenoptera, Apidae. The record is from RefSeq and is a predicted model, not a curated record. The transcript has 3 exons.